UGGUUGAUCCCUGGCUGCUCCUGUCAGCAUGACGAAGUGUCCUUGUGCAAGACACUGAACCCAAAGCUGCUCCACGGGCGCUUUACAACAGUCCACUGCUCCUAAAUGCUUAGGAUGGGUCAAAUGCAGAGGUCAGAUUUCAUGGAUGUACCUUCUAAUAUCAUACAAAU
Molecule: long non-coding RNA, 170 nt
Organism: Sebastes umbrosus (honeycomb rockfish)
Lineage: Eukaryota; Metazoa; Chordata; Actinopteri; Perciformes; Sebastidae
Exons: 3
Source: RefSeq, a predicted model, not a curated record